This is a long non-coding RNA of Mesocricetus auratus (golden hamster), 1828 nucleotides long. RefSeq lists it as uncharacterized. The record is from RefSeq and is a predicted model, not a curated record. NCBI's taxonomy places the organism in Eukaryota, Metazoa, Chordata, Mammalia, Rodentia, Cricetidae. The transcript is spliced from 4 exons.
UUGGCAGGAGAAAGAACUCUGUGUAAGCAGAGUUGGAUGUUUUUCAAAACUGUCAUCCCAAGUAGAUUUACAGUCACUGAGAGACUCAUCAUUAAAUUGAUCCAGUGACCUUAUAUUUGGAGUAUUCCCAAACUGGAGCUCUCAGCCUAAGGUAGACCAGCAUCAAAGAGCAAUUAAGGGUACCUGGCAGCUGGUGACAUUCAUUAGGCGGUCUUAGCUGAUAUGUGCCGAUCAUAGAGGCCUGGAACAAAAAGCUUACGGGUGAGGAUGUAUCUUUUGUCUGUUUCUCCAGCACCAAAUGUGCCUGCCGCAUUCUUCCUGAGGUACCAGGUCAAUAGAAGCCAAAAUUCCAGUUUGAGGUUUUGAAGCCUGGAACUAAGCUUUACUAUUUCCUGUGGUUUUGUUUCUCUGUGAAAAUAUGCCCGAAGUGGCCUGCUGAACAUGAUGAAUGCAGGAAGGAGAGUCGAGAUGCUCAGGCAUCCCAAUGGAGCUUGAUCUGGAUCAAUAGACCAACAUUUGGCACAUAGCCAAAAGAAUAAGCCUAGCCAAAAGCCAUACAGGCUUGCAGCAGAUCCCUAUCUGCCUCCUGGUGUGUGAGCAAUGACUACUUUUGUAUUAUGCCACUGAGGUUUUGUGUGUGCAGCAUUUUGGCAAAAUAUAAACUGAAAAAUAUAUUUGUAACACAACCUUCUCUUAUAGAGUGAAUACUUUUGGCCCCCAAUUUGUUUAUUAGUGUCCCGUGCUCCAGUGAGAUGAUAUUAAGGAGUUGGGGUUUUGAGAGAUACUUAUGUCAGGGGGAUUGGGCUCCCAGGAAUAGGAUUAAUGUCAUUAGAGGAAUAAGCUGGUGAAAAAUGAUGUUUUUAGUCACCAUUUCAGGUAAUAAAAAGUCAACACCAUCUGCACACUUGUAAAAUAACCCUUUUCAGAAACUGGAUGCAUUGGCAUCCUGACUUUGGGCUUCCAAGUAUUCUUGACUGUGAAAAAUGAGUGUUUAUAGUUUAAACUUCACGGUCUAUGAAAUAUUGUAAGCAACUGAAACUGGCCAAGACUUCAUCGGUAAAGAACUUCCAUCAUAGCAGAAGUCAAUGUAGUAUUCCAAUGUAGUAUUCUUAGGUAUUAGGAAGUCAAAGAGUUAAGUUUUGAUGGGAGAUUUCACCUUUAAACCUCCCUAUGACAUUGUGAGAAAGUAAUCAACAUUACUCAAUAGUUGGAUUAAUGGAUGUGUCUGUCCUUAUUUGUGGAUGUUCCUAAGAAAGAAAAUUCUAAAAGGGUAGGUUAUGCUUUUGAAUGUUUGUCGUCAUUGUGGUUUGUGGGUUUUUUUUCAACCUAGCUUAUCUCUGGUGACAAAAAUGCUUCUUUUGUUCAAGCAGUUAUCACUCUUUAAAGAAUGCUUACAAGAUCAUAUAACAUAGCAAUGCAGUUUUAAAAGAUUAAGUUGGGAAAAUCCUGUUCAGUGGAGAGCUUCUGGUUGGCUUGCUUGUCUAAUGGUUAUGUCCCACUUUUGGACUGUUUCAGAGAGUUACAAAGAGGAAGCCACCAUUGAUGGCAGGAUCAAAAUAGUCCCAACAGUGGCAUUGCCAUUUCAAAGUCACAUCUCUUCAAAGGGGAUGAAAGCAGAAACUGAACAAAAACUUCUUUCCUGGAGUUUAACCGUGCAAGGAUGGCAGGGAUGGAUCAGGCCGCUUACAGGCAGUCCUGACCCCUGUUUAUGGAUGUUCUCAAGAGUGCUCACAUUUAAUUGCUGCUGCUAGGCAAGGGGUUCAGAAUAAAUGCCUCUGUCAUGCAAGGGAUUGCUAUUCAGAGGAAUAAAAAUGCCUCCUUAACUUUC